Non-coding RNA from Labrus bergylta (ballan wrasse), 903 nucleotides. Lineage: Eukaryota; Metazoa; Chordata; Actinopteri; Labriformes; Labridae. The record is from RefSeq and is a predicted model, not a curated record.
GUAAGCGGCACAUUUCACAAUUUGUUCUCAUAAUUACUAAGUAUUAACAAGAAAGCUUUAUGAAUGGGUAAGUGGUGAAGAUAAAUUCCUCUUGAAAGCUUUAAUAUGUCCUGAUUUAACAAUUUACAAAAAUGAAUAAUUAAUACGUUAUGUCCGAAUUUAUUCAAAUAAUAAUCUCGUCUGAAUAAGAGCUUGAACCAUAAUCCCUUAUUGUCCUUUGUAUUUUUCAGUGAUUUUGCCAGUCUUCAUUGCCACCAUUGUCGUCUUCCUGGUGCUAGUAUGUGCUCUACUCUUUGUUAUCAGGGCUCAGAGGACUCAACACAACCUGCUUCAGAGUCAGGGGUCAGGUAACGCCAGCACAGUUGCUAUGAGCCAACAUCUACCAAGUGGAAAAGGAGAUGAGGAACUCAACAAAACAAAUGAGGGCAUUUAUGCUAACACCACUGAGCUGAAGAAACCAGGUGUCACCCAACCUGCAACUACCUCUGAGCCAAUCAGCACCAACUUACCAAGCUCAAUCCGAAACGACACAGAAGAUGCCAGUACAAGUUCAGAGAAGAAAAACGAGGAAAGCAAAGAUGUGAUUUAUACUAGUGUGACUUGGAGGAGCAAAGGGAAGAAGGAGGGAGGAAGCUCUGGGGACACAAAUCAGUCAGGUCGCUCCUGAUGGAGAAUUGGGCAGAAAUGUUGCGAGCAAUGCAGUAGAGAGUGUAAAUCUAUACAAUGAAGUGAAGCCUAGAAAUGUGAAGAAGGACUCUGAAUGUGAAUAUGCCCAGGUUAAAUUUAGAGACUAGAUUGAGAUGCAGACAUAGAUUACAGUUCAGUCCGGACUGGGCGAUAAAACGAAAUGAUAAUUAUUGCAAUAUAAUUUUCGUCAAUAAAUAUGAAAAAUGUUCAAUAAAA